Molecule: non-coding RNA, 92 nt
Organism: Pelobates cultripes (western spadefoot toad)
Lineage: Eukaryota; Metazoa; Chordata; Amphibia; Anura; Pelobatidae
Source: the annotation of a GenBank genome assembly
AGUCUUCCUGCUCCUCACACUCACAGUUUAGUUAUGCCGGGCCGGAAUGACGUCAUAUUCACUAAACUGUGAGUGUGAGGAGCAGGAAGACU